Molecule: non-coding RNA, 23 nt
Filed under: Cricetulus griseus (Chinese hamster)
Lineage: Eukaryota; Metazoa; Chordata; Mammalia; Rodentia; Cricetidae
Source: RNAcentral
UGUGUUUGAUACCCUGAGAAGCC